UAGAUACCCUAUUAUAUAGGGGCCUAAGAAUUCUAAGGUAGUAGUUGCCAUGAUCUUGAAACCUAAAGAAUUUGGCGGUUCUUAGUAUAAUCAGAGGGACCUGUUGUAGAAUCGAUAAUCCACGCUAGAUCUUACUUUCACAAAGCUUGUAUACCGUCAUCAAAUCUCCCCCUUUAAGGAAGAGAGGUACUUAAUCAUAUGCUUAGAGAAUCAAGUUAGAUCAAGGUGCAGCUUUUGAAAGAACUAAUGGGUCACAAUUUGGAAACUAUUGGAAGCUAAAUCAAAAGAAGCCUAAAUUGGAUUUGAAAGUAAUCUUGGUUUAAGAAGCCAAGGUGAGUUUUUCCUGAGAAUGUACACAUCGCC
Molecule: ribosomal RNA, 363 nt
Filed under: Burmoniscus dasystylus
Lineage: Eukaryota; Metazoa; Arthropoda; Malacostraca; Isopoda; Philosciidae
Description: partial 12S ribosomal RNA
Source: RNAcentral